RNAcentral lists this ribosomal RNA (541 nucleotides) under Bifidobacterium breve. RNAcentral describes it as "bacterial SSU rRNA". It matches the Rfam family "Bacterial small subunit ribosomal RNA", at positions 160 to 711 of the family's 1533-position model. The record is from RNAcentral. Lineage: Bacteria; Bacillati; Actinomycetota; Actinomycetes; Bifidobacteriales; Bifidobacteriaceae.
GUGGUAAUGCCGGAUGCUCCAUCACACCGCAUGGUGUGUUGGGAAAGCCUUUGCGGCAUGGGAUGGGGUCGCGUCCUAUCAGCUUGAUGGCGGGGUAACGGCCCACCAUGGCUUCGACGGGUAGCCGGCCUGAGAGGGCGACCGGCCACAUUGGGACUGAGAUACGGCCCAGACUCCUACGGGAGGCAGCAGUGGGGAAUAUUGCACAAUGGGCGCAAGCCUGAUGCAGCGACGCCGCGUGAGGGAUGGAGGCCUUCGGGUUGUAAACCUCUUUUGUUAGGGAGCAAGGCAUUUUGUGUUGAGUGUACCUUUCGAAUAAGCACCGGCUAACUACGUGCCAGCAGCCGCGGUAAUACGUAGGGUGCAAGCGUUAUCCGGAAUUAUUGGGCGUAAAGGGCUCGUAGGCGGUUCGUCGCGUCCGGUGUGAAAGUCCAUCGCUUAACGGUGGAUCCGCGCCGGGUACGGGCGGGCUUGAGUGCGGUAGGGGAGACUGGAAUUCCCGGUGUAACGGUGGAAUGUGUAGAUAUCGGAAAGAACACCA